Molecule: non-coding RNA, 43 nt
Filed under: Schistosoma mansoni
Lineage: Eukaryota; Metazoa; Platyhelminthes; Trematoda; Strigeidida; Schistosomatidae
Source: RNAcentral
CUGCUGAGGAGUCCCACAAUAGGACGAAGUGGCCGUCAAGCAG